CCUCGUGAGAUUAAAUACUCAAGAAACCAAACCCUUGUUUCAUCCCUUUUAUCUCUCCUGGUGGCUCUCACCCCCUCCUCGUGUGAUUAUCUCUCUCACCUGCGUUGCCACUUCGCCGGAGCCAUCUCGGAGCCACUUCGCUGGAGCCAUCUCGGAGCCACUUCGCCUGCGUUGCUCGUGUUCUGCUUAUCGGUCGCCACUGCUCUACUGUCGACAUAAAUGAACAAAUGGAACACCACGUUCAAGAAAAUUAGUUACUUGUAGGAAGGCAUGGAAGCACUUUAGACGGAGAGUGAUUUAUUGGAGCAUUUUACAUGUAGAAAUUCUCUUGAAGAGAAUUGAGAAACCAUAAAUUUUAUAUAGUUUUUUAGUUAAUAGACUUUUGUAAUAAUGUAUUUCGUAAAUUUGUUCACGAGCUCAUGAUUAUUGUAUACACAUUUCCUCUUUAGUGUAUAAAAUUUCAAAAUAAAUUUAUGAAUAUAUAAUUUUAUGUACA
Molecule: long non-coding RNA, 496 nt
Organism: Beta vulgaris subsp. vulgaris (sugar beet)
Lineage: Eukaryota; Viridiplantae; Streptophyta; Magnoliopsida; Caryophyllales; Amaranthaceae
Exons: 2
Source: RefSeq, a predicted model, not a curated record